CUUCAGAACUACCUGAUUUCGCAAAAUCAAUCCAGCACCGACUAAUCAGAAUCUGAAUCUGACAUCGGCAUCUGGUAAGCAUCUUUUGGUUCCAUAUCUGUUAUGGAAGGAGGCAUAUCCCCAUUGGAUGCAUUCCUUCUCCUCUCUCUACGUUUUUGCAUAAUUUCAUCCUUCACAUUUGAUUGACUUGGUUGACUUAAUUGACUCUGACGAGUUUGUUGAUUUCUCAUCAGCCACAUAGUACCAAAAGACAUUAAUGCUGCCAAAAGUAAUAUUGGGCCAAUCCUUGGAUCUCCCAUGUGAUCAUAAGUUUUGCCCAUUACUUUAAGGAGAAUGUGCUUGAUUCCCACACUUCUGGAUAGAAUGCUUUGGACACCUUUUGACCAGAUAGGAUCUGUGUCUUCAGGAACAAGGUCAGGAGUUUUUGUUUUAAAGAAGGGGAGGUCCCUGGUUUCGCCAUCCUUAAUUGUUCCCGAGAUCCAUUGAAUGAUCUGUGGAAUUUUAUCCGAACCAUUGUACCUUGCCACAAGCUGUGAUGCAGGAUCUGCUUCCUCGUAUUCAAAUACAUUUUUCCUAAUCCUGACAUUAUCUUGAGUAGCAUUCCUUUUGUAACGUACAAUAAAUAACCUAGGUACAUCAGUCAGAUCCCUCCUUGGUCCACAGGUAUCAUAGCUGGUUUCUGAAUGAAGGUAGAAGAAACAAUAUUUUUGUUGAGCUUCUCCAUCAAGCCAAGCAAAUGUCAGUCGCCUGUUUUUCAGUGCAGUUGACAACAGUAAAGAUUGAUCUUUAUCAACAUCACUCAACUCUCCAUCAUUUGAUAAUAGUUCUUGUACCCUGCGCAUGGUUUCACGCAUCUUGUUGAGUUCUGAGCCCAGUCUUCCUGCUAGAAUAACACAAUACCAUGAUAUGGUAUUGACUCCAUUACGAGAAUAGCCUCGGGCAUCACAACCAAGCUCCAUUGAAUUAACACUCCUUAACUGUGGAAGUUCUUGCUGUUUAUUUUUUUCCAUGACAUCUGCAAACCAUGAAGUGUUGAAUGAUCCAUGGAAAAUGACAGGUUUAACACCUGGAUCUUUCAGGAAUACAAUAGCAGGGGCAGAUUCCACCUCAAACGUAUUCCACCACAAGGAGAAAUCCUCCUCUCGCCAUAGCACAAAUGCAAAACAGGCAUAAGCCCA
Molecule: unclassified non-coding RNA, 1178 nt
Filed under: Hevea brasiliensis (rubber tree)
Lineage: Eukaryota; Viridiplantae; Streptophyta; Magnoliopsida; Malpighiales; Euphorbiaceae
Source: RNAcentral